Molecule: long non-coding RNA, 476 nt
Filed under: Canis lupus familiaris (dog)
Lineage: Eukaryota; Metazoa; Chordata; Mammalia; Carnivora; Canidae
Description: lncRNA (ENSCAFG00000057960.1)
Source: RNAcentral
CACACACUCACACACAUAGACACACAUACGGACCCGCACACAGAUCCGGGUGGGGGGGGCGGGGUGGGGGAGCGGCAGCGCGAGACAGCGCGAGCCUCCGAGAAAGCGCGAGACACGCCGGCGCGUGCAGCUCCGCGGCGGCCGCUGCGCCCCGGCUCCAGCCCCGCGAGCGCCCGGCCCGGGUAUUUAUGCGGCGGCCGCGUCCGCCGGCUGCGGCUUCCUCCGGGCCCCCCCCUCCUCCCCCGGGGCGCGCACCACCGCCCCCCUGCACGCGCACACACACACACACACACACACACACACACACACUCGCGGCAGCAGCUGCCGGGACUCGCUCGUGGGUGUGUGUGGUUUGGGGGCUCCUGCCUCGGCGCGGCGGGUGCCACCUCCCGGGACGCUGGCCAGGCGUCCCAGGUCGCGAUCAAACAAAUAAUAGAAGUCUGUUGAAGCUUUGUCCUGACCUAUUCUGGAAGUAG